Molecule: ribosomal RNA, 469 nt
Filed under: uncultured bacterium
Lineage: Bacteria
Description: bacterial SSU rRNA
Rfam family: Bacterial small subunit ribosomal RNA
Source: RNAcentral
UGGGGAAUAUUGGACAAUGGGGGAAACCCUGAUCCAGCGACGCCGCGUGGGUGAUGAAGGCUUUCGGGUCGUAAAGCCCUGUCAGGAGGAAAGAAUGCUCCUAUGAUAAAUACUCAUAGGAAGUGACGGUACCUCCAAAGGAAGCACCGGCCAACUCCGUGCCAGCAGCCGCGGUAAGACGGAGGGUGCAAGCGUUGCUCGGAAUUACUGGGCGUAAAGGGUGCGUAGGCGGCCUUUCAAGUCCGGCGUGAAAGCCCAGGGCUCAGCCUUGGAAGUGCGCUAGAAACUGAAUGGCUAGAGUAUCGGAUGGGAGAGUGGAAUUCCUGGUGUAGCGGUGAAAUGCGUAGAUAUCAGGAGGAAUACCGGUGGCGAAGGCGACUCUCUGGACGGCAACUGACGCUGAGGCACGAAAGCGUGGGGAGCAAACAGGAUUAGAUACCCAAGUAGUCCCUGAGCGGGCUGGCAAGGC